GGCGUCGGUGCCGCGCCCGGCGGUGGCGGCGGCUUCCAGGGCCGUCCCGGCCAGCGCGGCGGUGCGGCCGGUGCGUUCGGCCGUCCCGGUGGCGC
Molecule: transfer RNA, 95 nt
Filed under: Mycobacterium stomatepiae
Lineage: Bacteria; Bacillati; Actinomycetota; Actinomycetes; Mycobacteriales; Mycobacteriaceae
Description: tRNA-Trp
Source: RNAcentral